CCUACGGGAGGCUGCAUUAGGGAAUCUUCCACAAUGGGCGAAAGCCUGAUGGAGCAACGCCGCGUGGGUGAAGAAGGUCUUCGGAUCGUAAAACCCUGUUGUUAGAGAAGAAAGUGCGUGAGAGUAACUGUUCACGUUUCGACGGUAUCUAACCAGAAAGCCACGGCUAACUACGUGCCUGCAGCCGCGGUAAUACGUAGGUGGCAAGCGUUAUCCGGAUUUAUUGGGCGUAAAGGGAACGCAGGCGGUCUGUUAAGUCUGAUGGUAAAGCCUUCGGCUUAACCGGAGUAGUGCAUUGGAAACUGGUGGACUUGAGUGCAGAAGAGGAGAGUGGAACUCCAUGUGUAGCGGUGAAAGUCGUAGUUAUAUGGAAGAACACCAGUGGCGAAAGCGGCUCUCUGGUCUGUAACUGACGCUGAGGUUCGAAAGCGUGGGUAGCAAACAGGAGUAGAUACACGUGUAGUC
Molecule: ribosomal RNA, 465 nt
Filed under: uncultured bacterium
Lineage: Bacteria
Description: partial 16S ribosomal RNA
Rfam family: Bacterial small subunit ribosomal RNA
Source: RNAcentral